Molecule: small nuclear RNA, 155 nt
Filed under: Erpetoichthys calabaricus (reedfish)
Lineage: Eukaryota; Metazoa; Chordata; Cladistia; Polypteriformes; Polypteridae
Description: U1 spliceosomal RNA (ENSECRG00000012219.1)
Rfam family: U1 spliceosomal RNA
About the family: U1 is a small nuclear RNA (snRNA) component of the spliceosome (involved in pre-mRNA splicing). Its 5' end forms complementary base pairs with the 5' splice junction, thus defining the 5' donor site of an intron.
Source: RNAcentral
UAACUUAGCUGGCAGAGAAGAUACUGUACCAUGAUCACUAAGGUGAGGUUCACCCAUUGCAUUCUGGGUGUGCUGAACCUGGCGAUUUCCACAAAGCUGGGAAACUCACCUGCAUAAUGUGUGGUAGUGGAGGACUGCAUUUGUGAUCUCCCUUG